This is a long non-coding RNA of Lepidothrix coronata (blue-crowned manakin), 277 nucleotides long. RefSeq lists it as uncharacterized. The record is from RefSeq and is a predicted model, not a curated record. The transcript has 3 exons. Lineage: Eukaryota; Metazoa; Chordata; Aves; Passeriformes; Pipridae.
CAGAGGCUUUCAGCUCCAGCUUUAUAUUUGAGGGGGAAGGGGUAAACUUGUCAAGUCACAUUACCAAAGGGGAAAAAAUGUAAAGCAAGAGUUUCUGAUGCCCCAGGAGUUUAAAUUGGAAGUGACAGAAGACAUAUGAGUUUAUAUAGAGAUAGGAGAGCCAUCUCUUCCCAAUCCAUUCACCAAACACCCUAAAAGAAGUGAGCUGCUCAGGACAGCAUGCACAAAGACUGACAAGAGACUGCACGAGUACCAUUUCUGACAGCAAGCAGAGUUC